Long non-coding RNA from Echinops telfairi (small Madagascar hedgehog), 287 nucleotides. RefSeq lists it as uncharacterized. Lineage: Eukaryota; Metazoa; Chordata; Mammalia; Afrosoricida; Tenrecidae. The record is from RefSeq and is a predicted model, not a curated record. The transcript has 3 exons.
AAUGUUGAAGUGAAAUCCUUUCUGCAAGCUGUAGUUCUUGGUCCUCAUCAGUAAGGGCUCCUAAUCCUCUGCAUUUUCAGCAAGCGAGACUCCUACCACUCGGCUACCAGGACACCAAACCCGCUUUGUUCGAGAGAGCUCUCAAAGUAAGCAGGUCCCUGGUCUGCCAUCUACCCGGAACUCGAAGCCAAAUUAUUCUUGACAUGCCUCCUGUUAAUGAAAACAUGGUAUCAACCACAACAACGAAAAAUUGAAGCAGCAAAUAAUUUGGUUCCAAAAGGAUUAAU